AGAGUUUGAUCCUGGCUCAGGACGAACGCUGGCGGCGUGCCUAAUACAUGCAAGUCGAGCGAAUCAAUAGGAGCUUGCUCCUGUUGGUUAGCGGCGGACGGGUGAGUAACACGUGGGCAACCUGCCUGUAAGACUGGGAUAACACCUGGAAACCGGUGCUAAUACCGGAUAAUUCUUUCCCUCUCAUGAGGGAAAGCUGAAAGUCGGUUUCGGCUGACACUUACAGAUGGGCCCGCGGCGCAUUAGCUAGUUGGUGAGGUAACGGCUCACCAAGGCGACGAUGCGUAGCCGACCUGAGAGGGUGAUCGGCCACAUUGGAACUGAGACACGGUCCAGACUCCUACGGGAGGCAGCAGUGGGGAAUAUUGCACAAUGGGCGAAAGCCUGAUGCAGCAACGCCGCGUGAGUGAUGAAGGCCUUCGGGUUGUAAAGCUCUGUCUUUUGGGACGAUAAUGACGGUACCAAAGGAGGAAGCCACGGCUAACUACGUGCCAGCAGCCGCGGUAAUACGUAGGUGGCAAGCGUUGUCCGGAUUUACUGGGCGUAAAGGAUGCGUAGGUGGAUAUUUAAGUGGGAUGUGAAAUACCCGGGCUCAACUUGGGUGCUGCAUUCCAAACUGGAUAUCUAGAGUGCAGGAGAGGAAAGUGGAAUUCCUAGUGUAGCAGUGAAAUGCGUAGAUAUUAGGAGGAACACCAGUGGCGAAGGCGGCUUUCUGGACUGUAACUGACACUGAGGCAUGAAAGCGUGGGGAGCAAACAGGAUUAGAUACCCUGGUAGUCCACGCCGUAAACGAUGGGUAC
This 800-nucleotide ribosomal RNA is filed under the name uncultured bacterium. Its description in RNAcentral is "bacterial SSU rRNA". It matches the Rfam family "Bacterial small subunit ribosomal RNA", at positions 8 to 816 of the family's 1533-position model. The record is from RNAcentral.